CCCCCGGGCCGCGCUCCGGCGGGCCCGGCGCCUUGCCCUGGCUGUUGUUCGCCCCCGCCGGAGCCGCCGCCACUUGCGCGGCCAUGAUCACCGCCACAUCGCGAGGCCGGAGGGACGGGCGCUGGGACCGAAAGGACCGAAAAUCGGGCAAAAAAGCCAGACGGCGUUCGGCCCCCGCGCUCGGCGAGGGGGAGAGCCGGGGGGGAGGGGGGGAGAGGAGCGGGGCGAGAGGGCUCGGCCGGGCCGGGGUGUCCCUGCGGGCCGCUCCGCUCCGCAGAAAUCCCCUCCUCGAGUCCGUGGCCGAGAAAUGAUAAUGGGAGCUGAUCAAGAAGAGAGAGGCACAGAGUCUCGUAAUUGUUUCCCCAAACAAUGUAAUUUCCAGUACGCACAGGACACUCAUGAAAACACAGCGAUACCAGAACAAAAACUGAAAUAUGUCAUCCAAAUGGCACAUGGAAAGCCAUUGCUGAUGACCUACAUUUUUAAACCAUCCUCCAGAAUGGUUUGGAGGAUUUUUUUAUGACUGUUCUGAUACAAAUGGUACCCCGGCAUAAGAAAAAGUAAACCUUACACACUACAUUAAAGCGAUAAAAGCAUCUGGAGGUCAGAUACUCUGCUAAGGAAGCAGCUAGCAAACUGAGAUGUUAGCAAACAUUUUCAGUGUAGUAAGGGCCUAGAUACACUGUUUUAAAUGAAUAUUUCUAUGCAUGCUGUUAGUGAUGGCCACAUUUUCAAAUUUCAGAAUAGCUAAGUAGGAAGCUCGAUGAUACUGGUAGAGAGAAAUGCAGCAUGUCAUGGAAGAUGCUGUCACGAGCGGGUGGACUGCAGGUGGACUUUAUCGUUCCCAUUGUGAAAGCAUUAAAGAACAGAAGCGUCGUGCCCUGACAUUGAGUUACAUGCCGCCAGAUGAACCGGUCCCGGUCAGACUGUAUGACCCGCUCACAAGCCUUGUUUGCACGGGUGCUGCUCUUCACUCAGCUAUGCUCAUGGGCUCCAUUUCCAGAGGGCCCCCAGGAUAUGGCAUGCAGCUCUGGCACCAGCCUGGCA
Long non-coding RNA from Gallus gallus (chicken), 1047 nucleotides. The record is from Ensembl. NCBI's taxonomy places the organism in Eukaryota, Metazoa, Chordata, Aves, Galliformes, Phasianidae.